RNAcentral lists this ribosomal RNA (491 nucleotides) under uncultured bacterium. Its description in RNAcentral is "partial 16S ribosomal RNA". It matches the Rfam family "Bacterial small subunit ribosomal RNA", at positions 29 to 507 of the family's 1533-position model. The record is from RNAcentral.
GUGAACGCUGGCGGUAGGCCUAACACAUGCCAGUCGAACGGCAGCACAGUAAGAGCUUGCUCUUACGGGUGGCGAGUGGCGGACGGGUGAGGAAUACAUCGGAAUCUACUUUUUCGUGGGGGAUAACGUAGGGAAACUUACGCUAAUACCGCAUACGACCUACGGGUGAAAGCAGGGGAUCUUCGGACCUUGCGCGAUUGAAUGAGCCGAUGUCGGAUUAGCUAGUUGGCGGGGUAAAGGCCCACCAAGGCGACGAUCCGUAGCUGGUCUGAGAGGAUGAUCCGCCACACUGGAACUGAGACACGGUCCAGACUCCUACGGGAGGCAGCAGUGGGGAAUAUUGGACAAUGGGCGCAAGCCUGAUCCAGCCAUACCGCGUGGGUGAAGAAGGCCUUCGGGUUGUAAAGCCCUAUUGUUGGGAAAGAAAAGCAGCAGGUUAAUACCCCGCUGUUCUGACGGUACCCAAAGAAUAAGCACCGGCUAACUUCGUG